UGGGAAUUGAACCCAGGUCCUCUGGAAGGGCAGCCAGUGCUCUGAACCACUGAGCCAUCUCUCCAGCCCCCUGCUUUCUUUAGAGUCCCUCUAGGUAGAACAGUACAGCAUUGCUUUCCUGUGCUUUUAACUCCAGCACCGAUGGUCUGUUUUUUUAAUUGCUAUGACUUUAAUGCUAUGUGUGAGUAUAUUCCUAUUCCUUUGAACUGCAUGUAGCAUCCUGAGGCAGACAGGUCACAGUGUCUACAGCCAUUCUCCUGGGAUUUAUAAUUAGGUGGCUUCCCCUUGGUUGGUUGUUUCAUGAUACUGUAAACAAAUACUCCAUUUUUAUAUCGGCCUCCGUGCGCCUAUAUAAGCAUUUCUUUCUCUAAGAGAUAAUUCCUUCUAGCCUUUGGGUCUCCAGGUCACACAAAAGCAGUUUGAAUUUAGCUCUAAGCCUAAGAGAAUCUAGUAAGUUGUCUCAAAGUUGAAGAGCCAGGGAGAAUUACGCUUUAAUCUUUGAAAAACAUCAGUCCAUUUCCCAGCUACAUAGGAUGACUAUGACCUCUCCGUUAUACAUGGAAUCCAGAAAAUGAUGACAGCAUUUAAAUAAUUCUCUGUUUUGUAGUUUGUAGGUUAGAUAUACACUUCAGGUAUAAAAUGGAAUCAUUUUAUAUUUGAAAUUUUUUUGUACUAUAUAAUUUUUGUAUAUGAUAAUCUAUGUAAACCAAGACUUCUAGAAUAACACACAGAGACAUUCCGUAAGAAUAUUGUCUUCUCUCUUACUGAGUGCUUAAUGCAUGAGAGGAGAGGGGAGAGACAAAAGGGGUAAUGUCCAAAUUAAGCAGCCAAUCAGCUCCCACGGUCACUUCUGACAUGCAGUGUCUACACUGGCAGCUUCAGGAUCAAUCCACUUGCAAAUCCUUUGAGCAGCUGUUUGCAGGCCACCAACUAAUGAAGCUCUUUGAGGGCUCCGUUAUUAAUGGGAUGGGGCCCGAGCGGGGUAAAGGAAGAAAGAGUGGACUGAAGGAGAGAGCUGGAAGAGCCGCCUCCCUUUCCCUCGCCACUUGUGGAAAUCCAUUUCGGCUCAACUGGGACCAAUUGUGAGUCUUGGCCUUGGGCAAAAUUCCUAUUUGCAGUCAAUAAAUUAAUGGGUGACACCUUGAAAAGCGUUGGCUAACCGAAUCAAUGUCUGAUGUGGCAUUCUAUCCUCAGGCCAAAUUCCCAGUGAGCUUCUUAGGUUGGAGCUGAUUGAAGCGAUGGAAGGACCCUUGAACUCUGUUUUAUUUUAACUCUGUUUUGAAAGGCAAUAUUCAGGCAGGAGAGAGGCCCCUGCCCUCUCGUGUUCCUGUUCUCGCUUCCCCUUCUCCUCUAACAGGCCGAGGACUGACUGACAUUAACCGAUCUCCUUUGGACAGAGCUUGACAAUGUAUGGAGCUCUUUGUCUGCUGACGGUAGUUUCGUGUUUCCUCUGAAAAGCUUGUCCAGAAAUCCAGGGGUGACUCUUUCCACACAGUAGCUAGCUCCUCUUCAAACCUCUGGACAGCAGGAAGCCGAGAGGGGCGCUCUGUUGGUUCAGCUGGGUUUUACAGCUGAAGAUAACAUGAACCGCAAAUCUACCAGGGCUCAUGUUUUCUCGGAGGGGGGAGGAAAAUUCAGGGAGCAAAAUCAAGAGAAGUCGAGGUCUAAUGUUUCAUAACUGUGUGCUCUUUUCCAGGUUUUAUUCCUGUAAUAGUCUCUGUGUGUGGCCAGGCCCUUCGCAACACAGAGCUAUUGAAGAAAAGGGAGAGGAAGGAGGGGAAGGGAGGGAGGGUGGAGGAAUGGAUAAAAAAAAAAAAAAAUGAGCCUAUGGGGUACGGUAGGAGGGAGAGAACUGCUUUCAAGUCCUGACCGUGACCUUAACUGGAUGUAGCCAGGCCUCUGGGGGAAUUAAGCUGGCCAUUUGAUUUUGAAAAUAGAAUAGGGGACCAGUACGCACAGAGAAUUGAUAGCGAAGCCAGAAGAGGGAAGUGACCCACUUAGUGUCUCCUCUGGAAAAAGUGGGUUCUUGAGGCAACAGAAGGGGUUGGGUGGGGAGCUCCCCUUUCCCUGACAGUGUGCACCGGGGUGGGGGUGGGGCCGCUAGGGGAGCAAAUCUGAUGGGAAAGGUAGUAGAUAGCAUUACAGUAUUAUCUUUGUAUGUGUUUUGGAGGAUUAAAAAAAUAGAGGGAAAUUUUCAUUUUGAUUUGGGGGCGGGGGGGGGGCACGGCGUUUGUGUAUCCACAUUAUAUAUGCAGCCCUGUUCCCACCGCAGACUGAACUUGCUGCUGGAGAGAAGACUACUUUGUUUUCGGGUCGUCCAAGCAAUUUCCUGCCUUGGAGCAAGACCCAGUGCAGCUACUGAGCCCUGACAAUAUCCCCAGGCCUCUGAGCAGCCUAAUUUUAAUGAAGGAGCACCGCUCUUUGUGAAGGAGCACCGCUCUUUGUGAAGGAGCAUCCCUCUUUGAGGGACUCAGAAAAACACAAAUGGCCAAAUCUUAUCUCUUUCUUCCCGAAUACACCUUUCUCUCCAGUGAGAGGCCACAGCUGAGGGAUCUGAAUGGAACUACAGAAGAUGACCGUCAUCUUGAUCUCUGGGAAGCCAGACAUCAUCCCAACAGCACAUGGUAUUUCUUAGGCACACAGUACUGGAGCUGAGGAGAUCUCGGAUGUUAUGAAAUACAGUCCCUUCAUUUACUAGUUGGCUAGGGUGAAGGGCGUAUUCAAGCUGAGUCUGGGCUCUUGCUCUCCAGAGUAAGGAUUUCAGAAAACGAGUUAGCGCUGAGGUGACCCAAGCCGACGCUCUCUCCCAAGGCUAUCUCUCCCCUGAGCCCUUCAGAGCCUGGAGAUGGACUAAAUGGCCCCAGGGACUGGGGCAGCUUCACCAGCAUCGGGAGCUGGUGGCACUGGGGCUUGGGGUGUGGAAUGUGGUAGCGUUUGUCUAGCAUGCAUGAAGGCUUGGGGAUGCAUGCCUGGACUCAGCACUCUGGAGGGGAAGGCAGGAGGACCGAAGUUCAAGGUCAUUCUCAGUGACAUAGAGAGUUUGAGACCAGGUGCUACCAACACUGUGCCUCAAAGGAUGUAAGAAAGGAAAACUCAAAUAUCAGACCAAGUCUAGUGGCUGCGCUAGCAACCUUUCUAAAGUCCCGAGCGGAGCCUUUUGUGACGCCAGGGCCGGGAAACCCCUUGUCUCACAAGUUCAAAUGGGCGUGUUGGUUUCUGACAUGCUGUCACAUUUGUGUGACACAUUUGUGCUUCUGUCAUGUGCGUCGGGCUAGGGACAUACUCCAGGAUCUGACUUUCUGUGUGAAAUGGCAUUCAGUGUUCAGUAUUUUUACGGAGUCUGUUUCCACACACACACUCAGUCCACAAAGCUGGAAAUGGUCUAAGUUAAAAAGGCUUCACUACUCCUAACCUAGGGAGCAUGGCGGGGGGAUGGUAGAUGUUUCCCCGAGUGGCUUUAGCCGUCUUCCCAAUCCCACUUCCCAAUCCCAAGACAACAUCCUGCUACUUAUCGCCAGCCGGGAAAAGCUCGAUGUUCAACAUGCAAAGUAGUGUCUACCGUGCUCCACCCUCCAGUCAAAAACUUCCGUUUAGAGAGCAGUGGGAGAGAAAAAUUUUUUAAGGAAAAAAACAAAAAACUCCUAUGAACAUCAAGACUGAGAAUAUAAGCUCUCUUUUAUCUUUUAAAA
This is a long non-coding RNA of Peromyscus leucopus (white-footed mouse), 3689 nucleotides long. RefSeq lists it as uncharacterized. The record is from RefSeq and is a predicted model, not a curated record. The transcript is spliced from 3 exons. Lineage: Eukaryota; Metazoa; Chordata; Mammalia; Rodentia; Cricetidae.